RNAcentral lists this ribosomal RNA (488 nucleotides) under Candida tropicalis. RNAcentral's name for it is "SSU rRNA". It matches the Rfam family "Eukaryotic small subunit ribosomal RNA", at positions 547 to 1056 of the family's 1831-position model. Lineage: Eukaryota; Fungi; Ascomycota; Pichiomycetes; Serinales; Debaryomycetaceae. RNAcentral also lists the same sequence under 1 other name. The record is from RNAcentral.
AUUGGAGGGCAAGUCUGGUGCCAGCAGCCGCGGUAAUUCCAGCUCCAAAAGCGUAUAUUAAAGUUGUUGCAGUUAAAAAGCUCGUAGUUGAACCUUGGGCUUGGUUGGCCGGUCCAUCUUUCUGAUGCGUACUGGACCCAACCGAGCCUUUCCUUCUGGCUAGCCUUUUGGCGAACCAGGACUUUUACUUUGAAAAAAUUAGAGUGUUCAAAGCAGGCCUUUGCUCGAAUAUAUUAGCAUGGAAUAAUAGAAUAGGACGUUAUGGUUCUAUUUUGUUGGUUUCUAGGACCAUCGUAAUGAUUAAUAGGGACGGUCGGGGGUAUCAGUAUUCAGUUGUCAGAGGUGAAAUUCUUGGAUUUACUGAAGACUAACUACUGCGAAAGCAUUUACCAAGGACGUUUUCAUUAAUCAAGAACGAAAGUUAGGGGAUCGAAGAUGAUCAGAUACCGUCGUAGUCUUAACCAUAAACUAUGCCGACUAGGGAUCGG